AGGAUAAUAGUUAAAAUAAUAACAUUUAAUUUGCUAUUAAAAAUUAAUUUAUAAUUUUAUCUUA
Molecule: transfer RNA, 64 nt
Filed under: Conostigmus sp. MM-2013
Lineage: Eukaryota; Metazoa; Arthropoda; Insecta; Hymenoptera; Megaspilidae
Description: tRNA-Ala
Source: RNAcentral